This 66-nucleotide transfer RNA is filed under the name Staphylinidae sp. BMNH 1274668. RNAcentral's name for it is "tRNA-Val". Lineage: Eukaryota; Metazoa; Arthropoda; Insecta; Coleoptera; Staphylinidae. The record is from RNAcentral.
CAAAUUAGAGCUUGGAAAGUUUUUUAUUUACAUUAAAAGGAUAUUUGUUAAAUCAAUUUAAUUUGA